RNAcentral lists this ribosomal RNA (692 nucleotides) under uncultured bacterium. Its description in RNAcentral is "bacterial SSU rRNA". It matches the Rfam family "Bacterial small subunit ribosomal RNA", at positions 79 to 767 of the family's 1533-position model. The record is from RNAcentral.
CUUGCUUCUCUUGAGAGCGGCGGACGGGUGAGUAAUGCCUAGGAAUCUGCCUGGUAGUGGGGGAUAACGUCCGGAAACGGACGCUAAUACCGCAUACGUCCUACGGGAGAAAGCAGGGGACCUUCGGGCCUUGCGCUAUCAGAUGAGCCUAGGUCGGAUUAGCUAGUUGGUGGGGUAAUGGCUCACCAAGGCGACGAUCCGUAACUGGUCUGAGAGGAUGAUCAGUCACACUGGAACUGAGACACGGUCCAGACUCCUACGGGAGGCAGCAGUGGGGAAUAUUGGACAAUGGGCGAAAGCCUGAUCCAGCCAUGCCGCGUGUGUGAAGAAGGUCUUCGGAUUGUAAAGCACUUUAAGUUGGGAGGAAGGGCAGUAAAUUAAUACUUUGCUGUUUUGACGUUACCGACAGAAUAAGCACCGGCUAACUCUGUGCCAGCAGCCGCGGUAAUACAGAGGGUGCAAGCGUUAAUCGGAAUUACUGGGCGUAAAGCGCGCGUAGGUGGUUCGUUAAGUUGGAUGUGAAAUCCCCGGGCUCAACCUGGGAACUGCAUUCAAAACUGACGAGCUAGAGUAUGGUAGAGGGUGGUGGAAUUUCCUGUGUAGCGGUGAAAUGCGUAGAUAUAGGAAGGAACACCAGUGACGAAGGCGACCACCUGGACUGAUACUGACACUGAGGUGCGAAAGCGUGGGGA